Molecule: long non-coding RNA, 669 nt
Filed under: Trifolium pratense (red clover)
Lineage: Eukaryota; Viridiplantae; Streptophyta; Magnoliopsida; Fabales; Fabaceae
Description: long non-coding RNA (TPRA_LNC012745)
Source: RNAcentral
UGGUUUUAUUUUCACGAUUACUUAAAAAGACAAAUUUAAUUGAAUGUAAUAACUUCUUUUAUCACAAAGAAUAAGUAAUAUCAAAAUUAAAAUGAUGUUUUUUUGUUACAAUUAAAAUGAUGGUUUUGUUGUUUUAAUAAUUUUAGUGAUAUUUUCCUUGAAAAAAUAAGCAAUAUUGUUGUAGGGUAGUAAGUAAAAAUAUGGUAUUAUGAAUAAUAACAUAUAUAGUGGAAAUGCACUCAAAAAUAUAUACUUACAUAAAUUGUCACUUUUCAUAGACUUCUUGAGCAUCAAAGAUGCAACAAUGACAAAAAUAGAGGUCUCUCUUUUAUUCUCUUAUCCUAAUUCACAUGAAAAAAUUGUCAAANNNNNNNNNNNNNNNNNNNAUAUAUAGAAACUAAUAAAUUGUGAAAAAGAUGAAGAACCUAUUGAAGAGCAUCUAUCCAAAAGUUGGUUGGAGAAAAAUGAUGAUGAAAACUCAAAUUUGCAUUACAAACAUUUAGCAUUUAUGCACAAAAUCAUAUAUUUAUACACACAAUGGUUAGGAACGGGAAAAGAUGAAGGUUCAAAGGAUUGAAUGAUAAAUUUAUUUGUCAUAGUUAAGGAAUAAGAGUUAAUGAAUAUGAAAGAAUGGUAGUUUAAAAGUUGGUAUGACAAAGUUAUUUUUUU